RNAcentral lists this ribosomal RNA (274 nucleotides) under uncultured bacterium. RNAcentral's name for it is "partial 16S ribosomal RNA". It matches the Rfam family "Bacterial small subunit ribosomal RNA", at positions 523 to 796 of the family's 1533-position model. The record is from RNAcentral.
AUACGGAGAGUGCAAGCGUUAAUCGGAAUUACUGGGCGUAAAGCGCACGUAGGUGGCUUGGUAAGUCGGAUGUGAAAUCCCCGGGCUCAACCUGGGAAUUGCAUUCGAUACUGCCAUACUAGAGUCUAGCAGAGGGAUGCGGAAUUCCGGGUGUAGCGGUGAAAUGCGUAGAGAUCCGGAGGAACAUCAGUGGCGAAGGCGGCAUCCUGGGCUAAGACUGACACUGAGGUGCGAAAGCGUGGGGAGCAAAUAGGAUUAGAAACCCCAGUAGUCC